AAUGAACGCUGGCGGCAUGCCUAACACAUGCAAGUCGAACGAAGGCUUCGGCCUUAGUGGCGCACGGGUGCGUACCGCGCGGGAAUCUGCCCUUGGGGUCAGAAUAACGCAGAGAAAUUUGAGCUAAUACCGGAGGAGGACGAAAGUCCAAAGAUUUAUCGGACAAGGAUGAGCCCGCGUAGGAUUAGCUAGUAGGUGGGGUAAAGGCUCACCAAGGCAACGAUCCUUAGCUGGUCUGAGAGGAGGAUCAGCAACACUGGGACUGAGACACGGCCCAAACUCCUACGGGGGGCAGCAGUGGGGAAUAUUGGACAAUGGGCGAAAGCCUGAUCCAGCAAUGCCGCGUGAGUGAUGAAGGCCUUAGGGUUGUAAAGCUCUUUUACCCGGGAUGAUAAUGACAGUACCGGGAGAAUAAGCUCCGGCUAACUUCGUGCCAGCAGCCGCAGUAA
Molecule: ribosomal RNA, 449 nt
Filed under: uncultured bacterium
Lineage: Bacteria
Description: partial 16S ribosomal RNA
Rfam family: Bacterial small subunit ribosomal RNA
Source: RNAcentral